AGAAUGACCUUCCUUACAACCUUCAUAUAACUUACUCUUCGAACUAUCUAGCAUAUCAUUAAACUUUCUAGCUUCUUCAUUUGGUUCUUCUACGGUAUUCUCAAGUUCUGAGUAGGCAUUCAUAUUUCCCUCUAAGCAUCAUGAACCAUUUGAGUUGUACCUACCUCUUCUUCUCUAAUCAUAGAUUCUUCAAACCUCUCUGCUGCAUUUCCACUAGAAUUACCCACAUCGAAUGCAUCUUUUUCCCCAUGAUAAU
This 256-nucleotide long non-coding RNA is filed under the name Capsella grandiflora. RNAcentral describes it as "long non-coding RNA (CGRA_LNC000527)". The record is from RNAcentral. Lineage: Eukaryota; Viridiplantae; Streptophyta; Magnoliopsida; Brassicales; Brassicaceae.